GACGAACUGUCCUAACGUUGUUCGGAAUCACUGGGCUUAAAGGGCGCGUAGGCGGUCGACCAAGUCAGGGGUGAAAUCCUGCAGCUUAACUGUAGAAGUGCCUUUGAUACUGGUCGUCUCGAGGGAGGUAGGGGUGUGCGGAACUUCCAGUGGAGCGGUGAAAUGCGUUGAUAUUGGAAGGAACGCCGGAGGCGAAAGCGGCGCACUGGACCUCUUCUGACGCUGAGGCGCGAAAGCUAGGGGAGCAAACGGGG
RNAcentral lists this ribosomal RNA (254 nucleotides) under uncultured bacterium. RNAcentral's name for it is "partial 16S ribosomal RNA". It matches the Rfam family "Bacterial small subunit ribosomal RNA", at positions 524 to 777 of the family's 1533-position model. The record is from RNAcentral.